UGGCGUGAGGCCUUGGCGGCGGCCAGCUCUGGAGCCCUGGAGUCAGCUCCCACAUUAACUCCAGAGCUCUCAGCCUGCAGGGCCUGGAGGCUCCGGUGCAGG
Molecule: microRNA precursor, 102 nt
Filed under: Canis lupus dingo (dingo)
Lineage: Eukaryota; Metazoa; Chordata; Mammalia; Carnivora; Canidae
Description: mir-8834 microRNA precursor family
Rfam family: mir-8834 microRNA precursor family
Source: Rfam by way of RNAcentral